AGGUCGUUAUCGGUGUGAUUGAGUUGAGAGAAGAAGCCAGAAUGGACCAUGAUUCGCAUCAAGCGAGGGAUGAAGUGAGUUUUGGAAGAGUGAAUUGGAAGUGAAGCAAUGAGGUUUGAGAGUGAGAUGGGUUGGCCAUGGUUGUGUAUGAUGUCUGGUAUUCCUAACUCAACAACACAUUUAAGGGACAUGGAGUUUAUGAAGCUAAAAAUAUGAUUCCAUAUGUGUGUUUGAGCCCUCAGUAGUUUGGCGUCAUGGGAUUCCAUAAUUUGUUGCAUAAACUACUUGUUCAAUUUGGAAUAUGGAACCUCAUACACCAUUUGGAUCUAUUUAUAAGCAACCGAAUAUGCAGGCAGCCCUCAGUAGUUUCUUUUAAGCAUUUGUUUAUGAUUUGCAUUAAGUCAUAUGCUUGCAUUUUUUUCUUAAUUACUCUAGUUUAGUUUUUCUCUAAGUUAAAUUUUAUACUUAUUCAUUAUGUAUCUAUUCCCCAACACGUCUAUAAUCCUUUCUAUGUAAUUUGAAAUUUCAUAUAAUUUCCUAUGGACGUUAAACACCGAAAAAAAAAAACACAGUUUCUUACAACUUUACAAUUGAAAUCUUUAUUUAAAAUCCACAAGAAAAAUUAGCCUUGUUUAAUCUUUUUCUCUGUCAAUUCUUACCAGAACAACUAUGUAUAAUAUACACACUCUAUAAAUAAAUAUACAAUAAUAAAAGUUAGCAUAAAAAAUAUUUAACUCAAAAUAACUUAUAAUCAUGAAUAUAGAUUUAUGUUAUUUCAGAAACUCUAAUCUAUUAUGUACAUUACUUAAGGUUGGUUGAAAAUCGUAACUUAUAAUUGAGCGUUAUUUACUAAAUCGGGAUAUAUUGUAAUUCCGUAGGAAAAUGAUAUUUUAACACCAAUUUUUUUGACAUUAUUUUCACACUAUAUACGUAUCAAAAUGUGGUUAACGAUUUCAAAUUAAAAAAAGUGGACAUUGACAAAUGUAAAGAAGGAAAAUGAUAUUUUAACACUAAUUUUUUGACAUCAUUUUGACAUUGUACACGUGUCAAAAUAUGAUUGGACGAUUUCAAAUUAAAAAAAAAACUUUAGUUUUUUUCUUCCAAAUAUAUCAUUGUCUCAGUUUUUUUAAUUUGAAAUCAUCCAAUCACAUUUUGACACGUAUGCAGUGUUAAAAUAAUGUCAAAAAUUGGUGUUAAAAUAUCAUUUUCCUGUAAAGAAAGGUUCAUUGCAGGAAGGUUGGCAAAUGUCUAUCCUACAGCAUGUGGUGUUGGUGUCGGUGGCUGUGAUGCAUCUUAUGAUGAUAUUGUGGUAUUUUCAUCGGAUGGGCCACUUUGCUUUCUAAAAAGAUAAAAACAAACUUGAACAUAUGCUUCAUGGCUUUGCCUUUCUUUUUUUUUUUUAAUUGGUACAAAUAAUAUCAACGAAACUUGAAUCGAAUUAAUAUAAAUAAUUAAUAUUUAAUUUAAUAUAAAAUAAUAAAUUUAUAGAUUUUGUUAUAUUACGUUUAAUUUUUUUUAUUAAGUGAGAGGCUCAAUCAUAACUUCAUAUAAAAUUCUUAAAAUAUAAGUCCUUUUAAUUGACAUUUUCACGUGAGAGUUUGAUGAACUAUAUUUCAGUGCCAACAUAUCACUACUUUCAACAUACCAAGUUUGGUUUAUGCCAAAGGCAUAUGAAAUCGCAACUAUAAUCAAGAUUAAUUCCUCACUUAAUUUUGGUUUGUAAAUAUUUUUCUCUUCAUCCAACUGAACUUUGUGUGAGGUAGGAGGAAAAGUUAAUGCAUACAAUAAAUAUGCUACAUUUUAAGAAAGGUAGUUUUCAGUGCAUGCAUCACACUUUCCAACGAUUGUUUUUAUACAUAUUCCUUCUUACAAUGUUGUGAUAAAAAAAAAUGUUUAAACGCCACUUAAAAAUUAUUUGACAAUUUAUACAAGGAUGUUUCACCCUCUACCUCUCUUUUUUCUUCAAGCAUCUUCAAAAUUACAAAUGUAAUCAAUCUUCAAUGUUUUAUUCAAUUAAUUUUUUUUUAUUUUUCUCGUCUACUUAUUACCUUUUUAGGCUUUAAUCAACUUUUAAAAACCGAUUAAAGAUUCAAAAAUAUAAAUUUAAGAUACGUUUUUCUCUUAAUAGACUUUUAAAAAUCCGUGAGCUCUUAAUAAAAAACAUUGUUUGAAAUACGUUUAAGAAAAAAAACGUAUGUUUAAUAAAUAAACUUACUUUAAUAUACGUUUAACAAAAAACAUAUUGAAAUACAUUUAUUUAUUAUACGUUUAAAAAAAUGUAUUAAAUUUAAAAUAAUAAAUUUUGAAAUAUCAAAAUAAAAAAAAUAAAAAAAACAAUUAAUAAAAUUUUAAAUAAAACAUUAUAACCAAAUACAAUUACAAUAUUUAAAAAAUCAACUAAAAUUAAAUUAAACAAUUAUAAACAAAUAACAAAAAUCAAUAUAAUUUCAAACAACAAAAAAUAUAUUUUUAUUUGGUUGUUAUUUUUAAAUUUUUUAUUUGAUUUUUUAAAAUAUUGUAAAUGUUAGAUAUUAUAUGUUUAUUAAGGAAAUAUAAUCCCUAUGCUUAUUAUUUUAUUUGCACAUAUUCAUUUGUAUUUGGACUCAACUCACAUUUUUAUUAUUAUAAAUACAUUACCCUAUGUGUAUGCAAAGACACAUAUGGGAGAUUUCUCCUCAUCUCUUUUACUAUUUCAUAUGGUGUCAGAGCUUAGGUUUCAUUCCAGCCUCUUCCAAGGUCUCUGGUACUUAUUACUGCCGUAGCCACUGCAGCCGUCGUCGUCGCCGCCAUCGCCGCCGUCACCAGCACCCUCGGAUCUUAGGUCUUUGACUCAGGCGCCACCGAUCAUAUAACUGGUAACAAGUCCUUGUUUUCUUCCUUGUCAUGUCCGGAUAAUUUACCCUCUGUCACAAUGGCUGAUAGGUCUAGAGUCUCAUCUCAUGGUAUUGGUACUGUUCAUAUUUUUCCGUCCAUAUCCAUUGAUCAUGUACUUUAUGUCCUUGGGUCUCCCUUCAACUUAUUGUCCAUAAGUUGUCUAACUCGUUCCCUUAAUUGUGUUAUUUCAUUUACCAAAGAUUCUGUUUGUUUGCAGGACCGGAGUUCGAAACACAUGAUUGGCACAGGAUGUGAGUCUCAUGGCCUAUAUCUUCUUCACCCUUCUCCACAUGCUGGCGUCAUCAUGGAGUCACCAUCCCUUCUUCAUGCUCAGUUAGGUCAUCCCAGUCUUGCCAAACUGCAACAACUUGUUCCGAGUUUGUCGAAGUUAUCAAGUUUGACGUGUGAGUCUUGUCAGUUAGGAAAGCAUACUCGUAGUUCAUUUCCUCGUAGUGUUUCACAACGAGCGUCGUCCCCCUUUUCAUUAGUUCAUUCUGAUAUUUGGGGACCUAGUCGUGUUAAGUCCACUUUAGAAUUUCAGUAUUUUGUUACGUUUAUUGAUGACUAUUCCAAACGUACUUGGUUGUUUUUAAUGAAAAAUCGUUCUAAGUUGUUUUCUAUUUUCCAGUCGUUUUCAAUGAAAUAAAACAACAAUUUGGGGUUUCUAUUCAAACUUUACGCAGUGAUAAUGGCCGUGAAUACCUUUCUCAAUCGUUUAAACAUUUUAUGACUUCUCAUGGCAUUCUUCACCAGACCUCAUGUGCUUAUACUCCUCAACAAAAUGGGGUGGCUGAGCGCAAGAAUAGACACCUUAUUGAAACAACUCGUACACUUUUAAUCCAUGGCUAAGUACCCUCGCGUUUUUGGGGUGAUGCAGUUCUCACUGCAUGUUAUCUCAUAAACCGCAUGCCGUCUUCUGUCCUAGAUAACAAAAUCCCUCAUUCUGUCUUAUUUCCUCAAGACCCUUUACAUCCAUUACCUCUUAGAGUCUUUGGGUCUACAUGUUUUGUUCAUGAUUUUAGUCCUGGUCUUGAUAAGUUAUCUCCUAGAUCUCACAAAUGUGUCUUCUUAGGAUUUCCGCGGUCACAAAAGGGCUAUAAGUGUUUUUCCCCUUCCAUCAAUCGUCAUUUUAUCUCCGCUGAUGUCACCUUUGAUGAAUCUUCGUUUUAUUUUUGACAUCUAUCUUCUAGUUUUGUACCUCCACCUACUACUGUUGAUAUUCCUAUUGCCUGUGAUCCUUUAGACUCUCAUUCCCCACAGGAUCGUCCUUCAACUCCACCCCUUUAGGUUUAUAGUCGUCGCAAUUGUCUCCCUCAUGACUCACCUCCUAUGCCGCCUCCUGUGUGUCCUCCGGCUCCAGCAAAUGAGUCUGACCUACCUAUUGCCCUCCGUAAAGGUAUACACUCUACUCGUAACCCUUCCCCCCAUUAUACUGUUCUUAGUUACCACAUAUUAUCUCCAUCUUUUUACACAUGUCUCUCAUUCAUUUCUUCUGUCUCAAUUCCCAAGUCUGUGGGUGAUGGAUUAACUCAUCCUGGUUGGCGUCAAGCCAUGCUGGAUGAAUUAAGUGGUUUACAGAAAAGUGGAACUUGGGAGCUUGUCCAAUUAUCAUCUGGAAAGUCUGUUGUUGGUUGUAGAUGAGUGUAUGCUAUCAAAGUUGGCCCUGAUGGUACAAUUGAUCGUUUGAAGGCUCGAUUGGUUGCCAAAGGCUACACACAGAUUUUUGGUUUGGAUUAUGGUGAUACUUUUUCUCCAAUGACGAAAAUGACCUCUGUUCGCCUAUUCAUUGCCAUGGCUACUCUUCGACAAUGGCCUUUUUACCAAAUUGAUGUCAAAAAUGCUUUCCUUAAUGGUGAUUUGUAUGAAGAAAUUUAUCUGGAGCAACCACCCGGCUUUUUUGCUGAAGGGGAGUCUUUUGGAUUGGUAUGUCAUCUUCGCAAAUCCUUAUAUGGCCUAAAACAGUCUCCUCAGGCCUGGUUUGGUAAAUUCAGCAGUGUUGUUCAAAAAUUUGGUAUGUCUCGCAGUGAAGCGGAUCAUUAAGUGUUCUAUCGCCACUCAAGUGCUGGAUGUAUCUACUUAAUAUUAUAUGUUGAUUACAUUGUUCUCACAGGAAGCGACUGUCUUGGCAUCUCUCAAAUGAAACAACACCUUUGUCACCAUUUUCAAACCAAAGAUCUUGCCAAACUCUGGUACUUUUUAGGUAUUGAAGUAGCACAAUCCAAUGAUGGUAUUGUCAUAUCUCAAAGGAAGUAUGCGUUAGAUAUCUUGGAGGAAACAGGGUUAAUGAACUGUAAAUUUGUUGAGACACCUAUGGAUCCUAACAUCAAACUCCUACCAAAUCAGGGGGAGCCUUUCUCAGAUCCUGAACGGUAUAGAAGAUUAGUUGGUAAAUUAAACUAUCUUACUGUUACGCGUCCUGACAUUUCCUUCACAGUUAGUGUGAUGAGUCAAUUUCUAAACUCCCCAUGUAAAGACCAUUGGGAUGCAGUUGUUCGCAUACUGAAAUAUAUUAAAGGAUCACCUGGAAAAGGUUUGCUAUAUGGUUCUAACAACGAUACAAAGCUCGUUUGUUAUUCAGAUGUUGAUUGGGCUGGUUCCCCUUCUGAUAGGAGGUCUACUUCUGGAUAUUGUGUCUCUAUUGGUGGCAACCUGAUAUCUUGGAAAAGUAAGAAACAAAGUGUUGUGGCUAGGUCCAGCGCAAAAGCAGAAUAUAGAGCUAUGACAUCAACUACAUGUGAGCUUGUGUGGCUUAAACAAUUACUUAGUGAAUUGAAAUUUGGAGAUGUCACUCACAUGACACUUAUAUGUGAUAAUCAAGUUGCUCUUCAUAUUAGCUCUAAUCCCAUCUUCCAUGAGAGAACCAAGUACAUUGAAGUUUAUUGCCAUUUUAUUAGAGAAAAAAAUCAUAUCCGGAGAUAUCAAGAGUGAGUUCGUUAACUCAAGCAACCAGUUAGCAGAUAUAUUCACUAAGUCCUUGCGAGGACAUAGAAUUGAUUAUCUUUGUAACAAGCUUGGAACAUAUGAUUUAUAUGCUCCAGCUUGAGGGGGAGUGUUAAAUAUUAUAUGUUUAUUAGGGAAAUAUAAUCCCUAUGUUUAUUAUUUUAUUUUCACAUAUUUAUAUGUUUAUUAGGGAAAUAUUUUAUUUUUCUAGAAAUUUAGAACAAAAUUUUACGAUUUAUUAAGUAAUUUGAAAAGUAAAAAAUAUAUUCAACAGCGAAAAUAUAAUUGAAUCAAACUUAUUUAAGAAAAUAUAUCACAAGUUCAAAUUUGAGUCAUGUAAAUGCUCCAUUAAUGAGCCAUAUAAAUGUUUCAUUAAUGUAAAGAGAGAAAGAGAAAGAUUUUUAAAGAUAGUGGGGAGGUGUAGGGUAUUUUUAGAAUAAAAAAAAUAAUGAGGAAGCGUAAAAUAUUUUUAAAAUAAAUUAAAAUAGUGGGGAGGUGCAGGACCCGCUUGGGGAGGUGGAGGGAGCAACACCCAUUUAUUUAUAAUAAUAAUAAUGUUUUUUUUACAUAUAAUAUCUAUAAUUUUAACAUUAUAUUAUGUUUUAACUCGACAUGUUUGACUCAAAUAACUUGAAUAAAAUAUUUAAUUUAUUAGAUAAAUAAUAUAAAAAUAUUAUUAAAUACUUAAAGGAUUAAUACCUCCAUUGGUCCUCAUAUUUGUAUGUCAAUCUCAAUUUGGUCCUCAAGUUUUGAACUGUCUCAAUUGGGUCAUAAUUUUUGUAAAAAUGCACACAUUUUACCCUAACUGUUAAGUUGUCUCAAAUGUCGUUAAUUGAUGCUGAGAUGAAUUUUUUAUUUUAGGCUUAAUUCCUCCCUUGGUCCUUAUGUUUGUGUGAAAAUCUCAGUUCGGUCCUCAAGUUUUUCCUCAAGUCCUUAUGAAAUGCAAACAUUUUAUAACAUUUUACCCCAACCAUUAAGUCUAUUGAGACAACAUUAACUUUGAAUUGAACUGUAAUUUUUUUUUUUUAUGUUUUAAAAUCAUUAAAUCCACGUGGCUAUGGUCUUUCUUUUUUCCUUCCAAUCACUUAUCACAAUUUUUCCUCAAGUCCUUAUGAAAUGCAAACAUUUUAAAACAUUUUACCCCAACCGUCAAGUGUAUUGAGACGGCGUUAACUUUGAACUGAGCUGUAAUUUUUUUGUUUAUGUUUUAAAAUCAUUAAAUCCUCGUGGCUAUAGUCUUUCUUUUUCCUUCUAAUCACUGAUCACAUUUCACUCAUUCCUCCACCCUCAAACCCCCCGACUCACACCUUUUCUCCCUCUUAAACUAAAAAAUGUCGUCGUUGUCGACAGUUCAAAAAUUAUGACCCAAUUGAGAAAGUUCAUAACUCGAGGACCGAACUGAGAUUUUCACACAAACAUAAGGACCAAGAGAGGGAUUAAGCCUAAAAUAAAAAAAAUCAUCAGCAUCAAUUAAUGUAAUGCCCCGGCAACUUACAAGGACUGUUGACUGCCCCCACACAUCAACACGAGCCUUUCCAGUGUGCUUUGUCCUCACUCACACACUUUCUGAGAAAACUUCCCGGAAGGUCACCCAUCCCAUAAUUACUCUAAGCCAAGCACGCUUAACCAUGAAGUUCUUAUGAGUUAGGCUACCGAAAAACAAAUGCAUUUGUUGAUAUGAGUAGCCAAAUCAAUUCCUUUAAGCUACCCUUCAAUUAUAUAGUCCCAUACCUAUACAAUCUUCAGAUCCCUCUCAUUCCGGUUUGUGUUCAAUUCGUCCAUGUGCCCCUUCCACUCAAAGUCUGCCAGGAGCCGCUCCUUGUCCGUGCCCCCUGCACCAUGCCUCUUGCACCGGCGAUCACGCCCCGGCCUCGUCAGUGCCCGGGUGUCACUGAUACCAUUUGUAACGCCCCGACAACUUACAGGGACUGCUGACUGCCCCUACAGAUCAACACGAGGCUUUCCAGUGUGCUUUGUCCUCACUCACACACUUUCCGAGGAAACUUCCCGGAAGGUCACCCAUCCCAUAAUUACUCUAGGCUAAGCACGCUUAACCAUGGAGUUCUUAUGAGUUAAGCUACCGAAAAGCAAAUAAUGUGUGCAUUUUUAUAAAAAUUAUGACUUAAUUGAGACAAUUCAAAACUUGAGGACCAAACUGAGAUUUGCACACAAAUACGAGGACCAAUGGAGAUAUUAAACCAUACUUAAAAUAUAAAAAAAAAAGUUAUUUGUUAAAGAUUUAGAAUUUAUUAGUUCUUUCGUCAUUAUAAAGUUAGUAUAUAAUAAUAAUAAUAAUAAUAAUAUAUCAUUAUUUAUUAUUAAUAUUAUUAUGUUUAUUAUUUUGUAUUUGCAUCUAACUUUUAAUUUUAUAAAAUGGAAAUAGUAGAAGUACUAAUAUUGAAGUUUUCUCUGAAUUUUAUAUUUUGUAAUAUAUCACAAAUUCAAAUCUGAACCAUGUAAAUGUUCCAUUAAUGUAGAGAGCGAAAAAGAAAGAUUUUUAAGGAUAGUAGGGGAGGUGUAGGGUAUUUUUGGAAUAAAAGAAAAUAGUGGUGAGGUGUAAAAUAUUUUUAAAAUAAAUUAAAAUAGUGGGGAGGUGCAAGACUACUUGGGGAGGUGGAGGGAGCAACACCCUAAAUACAUUAUCCUAUAUGUAUGCAAAGACACACAAAGGAGAUUUCUCCUCAUCUCUUUUACUAUUUCAUAGUAAUUAUAUUUAGUUGUUAUUUUUUAUUUGAAAUUUUGUAAAUGUUUUUUUUUUCUGUUUUGUUUGUUUUAUUUAAAUUUUUUAAAAUUUAUUAUUUGUUAGUUUAAAUUUAAUACGUUUUUUUAAACGUAUUUCACACAUUUGUUGAAUUCUUAAUUUUCGAAAACCGAUUAAAAAUUAAAAUGAUUCUAUAAGAGAAGAGAGAAAAAAAAAAUUUAAUAAAAAGUUGAAGGCCAUGUUUGUAAUUUUGGUGUAAAUUAGUAUGAAAUGGAUGUAAAAAGGUUUUGGAUAAUAUUUAAUUUGUAAUAAAAUGUUUAAUGUCACAUAGUCUAAAUUAAAAAAAAAAUGACUACUGAAAUUUAUGUACUCAAUUCUUACAAAAUUUAAGUGUGAAAAUUUUUCUAUAGAAUUUUAAUUUAUUUAACACUACAAUAAGGUGAGGUGUUACUGUAUAUAUUUCCAAUGUGAAAGUAAAAUUUUACAUUUGAGCUUAUGUUUAUUCUCAUUAAGCACAAAAUUUUGUAUUUCAUCCAUUUUCUAGUAUGUACAUAUUUCCAAUGUGAAAGUAAAAUUUUACAUUUGUGCUUAUGUUUAUUCUCAUUAAGCACAAAAUUUUGUAUUUCAUCCAUUCUAGUAUGGUAUCAUUGCAUAUUUACUUUUAUAUUACUUAAAUAUUAAUUUAAUAUUUUUUAAUAAAAAGUAUAAAUUAUGUGAAAAAAAUUAUAUUACAAAGGUUUAAAAGGUUGGAUAUUUUCUUCUGUUAUAUAAAAUAUAAUUUAUAAUUUGAUAAAUAUUGAAAUGAAUUCUUGUAUAAAUAAAUGUGUAAUAUGUAUAGAAAGGAGUACAAUUAUAAUGUUUAUAUUCUUUUUUAUGUUGAGAAAGUAAAUGUUUUCAGACGUAGGGUUGAAGUUGAUUAUUCAAUGUCUAUUAAGUUGUUUAAGAUUCAAAAGAUAUUUUGAAAUUCAAGUUCUCUAGUAAUUUUUUUGUCUAAUUUAUUUGGAGUAUAUUUGUAGAAGGUAUUUUCGUAACUUACCUUCUUACUUCAAACUUGUAUUUUUAGAUUUUCGAAUGGAUUUUUUAUUAACAACGACCUAAUUACGGUUCAAUUGUGGAUAAUCACAAUUUACCUUUAAAUUGGUCAACAUUAGGGUUGAUUGUCCUGACCAAUGACCAAUCGAUUCACUUUCUUGAUUGUUUGGUCCUAGCGGUGGCUCGCUCACACAUCCAAAUGAAGCGGAUGGUUAAACUAUAUAUAGGUCCCCAAAACCCGAGCUUGAAAUGAUUGGCGAAGGGGUUUGAAGUUAAGUGAAUAGUUGUCGCUGCUCUUGCCAUUCAAGGAUGGUUCAAAUCUCCAUCGUCCGUUCAAGGGGCGUUCAAACUGUUUGGUGAACUAGUUGAAUAUCUUUUGAAGUGAUUGAAAAUAUGAUUGUCGGGGGAAUGACGUGUGACGGUUUGAAUCCCGCGUAUGUAAGAAUUCGAAGAGUAGGGUGCUCUGAGCCGUUGGAUCUAGCUUGAUUAAAAGGUUGAGGAUGAUUAACAUUUAAGGCCUUCGCAGCUAUAAAUAAGGGUUAGCCUCGCUUAUCAUUUUCACCUUUGCUCUCGUACUUUCUUUUGUAGACCGAUCGUUCUUCAAAUUUCAGAAAAUAAUGUCGACCAUAAAGUUGCCUUUGUUAGAGGAGUCCAAGAGAAAGAGCAAUCGAGGGUAUGUGGGGGGAUGUUUCUUCGUUUUUGGUGUCAUUGUCUAUCGCUUCUCCUAUUUUGGGAUCAAUCAAGCGGGACACAGAUUCGACCGAUAGCGUAGUUCAUGCAAAUACAAAUAAGGUCAUACUUGUUAACGAUGUUGAGGCCAACGUUGAGUUGGAAAUCAAAAUUGCUAAUGAGAUGUGGCCGCUCAAUCUUUCCCGGUCAUUACGGGUUAUAACUUGGUACCUCACAAGGUUGAGGAAUAUGUAACCUGCUUUCGCAUGGGACAUCAGUUGAAGCGGUAGGGUGACGGACUUACUUUGUUGAGUUCAAAAAGAGAGUUAAGAUGUUCAACUUGAUUCUGUGUAAGGGGAACAAAUAGGUAUAUAUCACAGGAAGAAGAGGCGACAAGGGUUCACAAAUGAACUCAUCCUUCAGAAGCUUGACGUGAGGUUAACAAGGGUUCAUGGAUGAAUUCAUCAUUCACCAACCUCUUAUUUUUAUUCGUUGGAGUCGUUGAGGCAAACUAGUGUUGUGGUUGUAUUGGUAUGUGAGGCAUAAGUCGAACACUUUACUCUCGGUAUAUGGCUACAUUAUUAUGUUAGGCACAAAUAACCAAACACUUUACUCUUGGUAUAUGGCUACAUUAUUAGCCUUGAGGGUCAUCAGUUGCUCUUCAUAUCUUCGUUGCAUUUGCUUCGUCUACCUUUUCAUUUUCCUUAUCAUCUCCACUUCACUAGGUUGAUUAUCUGAUUAUUCUACCAUAACAUUGCUCGUCCAUAUUCCUUGUAGUCAACAUUAGGUUAUUGGUUGUCGAAUAAACGGCCCCACAAUGGAUGCCAAAAUGUUUUGUGAUGUAAGGUCGAGGUCAACAGUCCAACGUCGAGUAAAUCACCCAAGGUCCAAAAUGUUGUCUUGAAAUUCAAGUCCUCUUGUAACCACUCGUCCAAUUCGUUCAGAGGGUACUCUGAUGUCAAAGUUAGGUCAAUAUUGACAGUUCAAAUAUUAAUGAUGUAGUAAAUGCAAAUCACUUACAUCUUUUCCUCAAAAAUAUAUUUAUAGAUUUUGAAGUGAGUUUUUGAUUAAGAGUAGUCUAAUUACGAUCCAAUUGUGAGUAAUCACACUUUACUUCUAAGUUGGUCAACAUUAAGAUUAAUUGUCUUAACCAAUGGCCGAUCAGUCUUGAUGGUGACUCGCUCACGAGUCCGAAUGAAAACUGACCGUCUAGUCUGUGACUGACCAAACAGUCAUACAAUAUAGUAAUAUCUUUGAAAUUUUAAUGAAUUUGGUAGAUUAUAGUUAAAUUAUAUAGUUGAAAAAAUCAAAUGAAAUAAUAUAUAUAUAUAUAUAUAUAUAUAUAUAUAUAUAUAUAUAUAUAUAUAUAUAUAUAUAUCAAUUUUCAUGAUACACAAAUAGUUAUUCUCAUCUCAUUUUUAUACCUAAUUAUAAAAAAUCCUACUGAUAUUCAUCAUGUUUAAUCAAUGAUGUUUAAUCAAUGAUGAGAAUUGGUAAAGAAAAAUAUCGUAGGUUUAUUUGGUAUCCCUAAUAAUAAAACGUUUAGAACAUUUAUAUUUAAUGUAUUAAAAUAAAAUUAUUUAAUUUUAAGUUUAUUAACUUCAUUAUUUUAGUAACCUUUCUUACAACUAUUAAGAUUUGAUGUUCAAUUUUCUUUUCACCUAAUUGUAUCCGCGAAUAAGGACAUUAUUCAUUCCUCUUUUUGAUAAUAUUCUUCUCUUUUUAUAAUCUUUUAUAUUAUUUUGAUUUCAUAAUUUCAAAUUCUUCUAUGUGGUUUUAAAUUAUAUAAGUUAUACAUGAACUAGAAGAAGCAGACAACCAAGCUCAACAUUAAAACUUGUGUUCGAGUAAGUCUCGCUAUCAGUAACUUCAAAACAUCUAUCAAUAAUCAAGACAAACAUUUUUCAUAAUUAAAACACUAAGAUUUAUUAAAUCAACAAUUUCUUAUUCAUCAUAUCCUUCAGAAACUAUCUUUUUCACAUGCAACAAUCCUCACAAACUUAUUUCUUGAAAUUUCAAAUACAGCUUCAUCUUGUUGAGGGACUAUGGAUAGAUCUGAAUAAGAGACCUUGACCCCAAAACGGGAGUUAUUGUGUAGUUAUUGAAACCAGCAGAGGAAAACAACUUAACCCAUUCCUUCUCGUUUCUCUCCUUUCCCUUCACCAACACCAUCAUCAACAUGUCAAAGAAAAGCUGUGUUUCAACAUAUUCUUUAUCUUUCACUUCAUUAUCCAUCACCAUGUCUAUGAUUAUCACUUUCCCUUCUUUCCCUUUCUUAGAUAUAGCUUCCUUGCAUUUCUUCAAUAUUCUCACACACUCCUCAUCGUUCCAGUCAUGUAAUAUGCACUGUUUUCUCAUCCAAAAAGUAGAAGGAAUUCAGAUGAUUAGAAUAAGGAUCUCAGGUAAUAUAAUUAAUAUAUAGGGCCACUUAUUAUAAGUCAAAUACACCUAACAUUAACUUAAUUAGCUCUAUUUAUCAAUUAGAAAAAGAUUCAACCAUGCUUGUACCAAUCUACAUCCAAAGAAAGAACUCAGCCAAGUAAUUUGAGGANAGGAGAGAAUAAAAAUGAGGAGCAAUAUUACUAUAUAUAAUUUUCUAUAUUGUUUCGAUGUUUAUAUAUGAGAAGUUGCAGAAGUAGUUAGAAUACACUAAUGCUACCUUAGUUACCGAUAAUCAUUAUAUAUGUUUAUUAUUUCAUUUGAUCAACAAUGGUGAUAUUGUUCUUUCUUUUCCAAUUGAUCAAUUCGUUGGUUCAAUUAUCUGAAGUUUAACAUCACUCAAGUAAAUUAAAAGAAAAGUUAAGAAUGUAACGGUGUACUAUGACUUGUAACGAUAUUUUACCUUCAACAAAAUGGCAUUUGUUGGAGGAAUUGCCUCAAACAUGUCCCCUCCAAUAUAUUUAAGGUUUUCGCUUUCUUGCAAGCCAGAAACAACAUGUGGAAGAUCAAAUACAAUGCAUUCCAACUGAGGGAAGGAUUCGGCAAUGGCCUUUCCCAUGGUUCCUGUACCUCCCCCAACAUCAACCAAUGACUCCAAUCCCAUGAACACCCCUUUGCAUUUCUCAAUCACCCAACUAGUUAUUAGUUGAGCAUCACUUGCCAUCGCAUCAUUGAAUAAGAUGUUAAAUCUGGGAUCACUUCCAGCAUACUCCCAAAACGAUUUCCCAUGCGUCAUUUCAAAGGGUGUAGUAAUACCAUUUUUGAACCAACUAGAAAACUGAGUCCAUGGAUUUGUUAAAACUGGAUCAAGCAUGGCCUGCAGGAAAGGUGCCAUACUCAUUUCAUGGCUCUUAAGCAGAAGGAAAGAGGCAUCAGUGAGUGCAUACUUGACUUCAAGGUCGUUGUCGGUGUGAUUGAGUUGAGAGAAGAAGCCAGAAUGGACCAUGAUUCGCAUCAAGCGAGGGAUGAAGUGAGUUUUGGAAGANUGAAUUGGAAGUGAAGCAAUGAGGUUUGAGAGUGAGAUGGGUUGGCCAUGGUUGUGUAUGAUGUCUGCUAUGCCUAACUCAACAACACACUUAAGGGACAUGGAGUUUAUGAAGUUAAAAAUAUGAUUCCAUAUGUGUGUUUGAGCCCUCAGUAGUUUUGCAGCCUCGUCUUCACCACGGGAUUCCAUAAUGUGCUGCCUAAACUACUCUUUCA
This 13855-nucleotide long non-coding RNA is filed under the name Vigna radiata. RNAcentral's name for it is "long non-coding RNA (VRAD_LNC004576)". The record is from RNAcentral. Lineage: Eukaryota; Viridiplantae; Streptophyta; Magnoliopsida; Fabales; Fabaceae.